UAGAUCAGGCUAAAGCUUAUGGGGGCUGGGGGGCAAGAGGGAUGUCAAUAAGCCAUUGUGACUUGGCUAUGGCAGUACUAAGUCUCCCCUGUUCGCUGUUACAGAUCUGAACGCAACGCAGGGAGCUGUGGAUGAAAUAGACAGAAGCCAGUGCCUGUAUACGGAAGAGAAGAGAACUGGUUAAUACGGCAAAAGCAUCCCAGAGUCCAGCAAUAAACUCCAGCUAUCCAAUGUGACAAGUCGAACAACACCCUAUAUCUCAGCUUCCUAUGUGAGAGUGACUUGGAGGCAUUGGAUCAAUAAUAAAUCACUGGAGCAUCAAUGAGACUGAGGCCAGAUCCGACUAUAGACGCCCGACCCAACAUGUCCUCCCGGUUCCUCCACUGGUCAAAAAAUAUAUAAAAAAUAGUUCU
Long non-coding RNA from Hyla sarda, 413 nucleotides. RefSeq lists it as uncharacterized. The transcript has 3 exons. The record is from RefSeq and is a predicted model, not a curated record. NCBI's taxonomy places the organism in Eukaryota, Metazoa, Chordata, Amphibia, Anura, Hylidae.